RNAcentral lists this ribosomal RNA (445 nucleotides) under uncultured bacterium. Its description in RNAcentral is "partial 16S ribosomal RNA". It matches the Rfam family "Bacterial small subunit ribosomal RNA", at positions 354 to 796 of the family's 1533-position model. The record is from RNAcentral.
GUGAGGAAUAUUGGUCAAUGGGCGCAAGCCUGAACCAGCCAUGCCGCGUGCAGGAAGACGGUCCUAUGGAUUGUAAACUGCUUUUAUUUGGGAAUAAACUCCGGUACGUGUACCGGCCUGAAGGUACCAAAUGAAUAAGCACCGGCUAACUCCGUGCCAGCAGCCGCGGUAAUACGGAGGGUUCAAGCGUUAUCCGGAAUCAUUGGGUUUAAAGGGUCCGCAGGCGGUCUUAUAAGUCAGUGGUGAAAGCCUACAGCUCAACUGUAGAACUGCCAUUGAUACUGUAGGACUUGAAUUCGAUCGAAGUGGGCGGAAUGUGACAUGUAGCGGUGAAAUGCUUAGAUAUGUCACAGAACACCGAUAGCGAAGGCAGCUCACUAGGUCUGGAUUGACGCUCAGGGACGAAAGCGUGGGGAGCAAACAGGAUUAGAAACCCUUGUAGUCC